GCAGCAUCAGCCUCACUUCACCUUGGAUGACAUGACGAUUAUGAAAUAUUCAGUCAUCCCCCUUGGGUCUACCUGUUGGACACUUGGACCUACUCAUGUGUUUGAGAUGAUUGUGCAGAAAAGCUGAAAAACGGGAUAAAAUUCUAUGUGAGAGAUGACCGCUAAAGGAGUGCGACGCCACCAUCCUGUGCCACAAACCAUACCAAGAAUGGCGGGUUAUGGAUAGAGUUCAUUUGAUCCAUCUGAUAAAAAUACCUAUUGGGGAAUAAGCAUGAAAAGUAAUCAACCACUCUUUCCGCAGUGGAGUUCGGCCGUGAUGAUCAGAAGUUUAGGACCACACUGUAGUCAAGAAAAAGGAAUGAUCUUCGAGUUGAAAUGGAUUUGAUGAGGGAAGUCUGCAAUGCAGACUGUGUUAAGUGUACCCGCUCCAGAUUUCAUCGACAGUAAAUGGUCCACUG
Long non-coding RNA from Triticum aestivum (bread wheat), 458 nucleotides. RefSeq lists it as uncharacterized. The record is from RefSeq and is a predicted model, not a curated record. NCBI's taxonomy places the organism in Eukaryota, Viridiplantae, Streptophyta, Magnoliopsida, Poales, Poaceae. The transcript is spliced from 5 exons.